AGAAUUAUUCAAAACACAAAAAUACUAGCACAGAUGGUAUUCAGUGAUUGCAGAUAUCAUAAAGACAGUUCAUGAAUCACCAACAUUUGAGAAGCACUGUGUUCAUGAUGUUUCCUGGAAGAGGUGGGUUAUACAAUGUUUCUUGGAGAAAGGGAUAGCAGUCUACUGCUAGGAGGGAGAAACGAAGCUACUAAGGUGGACAAGGAGACGGGCAGUUGGCUUUUCCUCUUCUUGGAGAUCACAGCCAAGGAAGCACAGGAGAGGCACCCCCUGGAGGCGCUCCAUGGCUGCAGGGCUGACAUGGCCCAGCCUGGGCAACAAGAGUGAAACCCCAUCUCAAAACAAAACGACGACGACAACAACAGGACAGCAGAGAUGGACGAUGAGUCGGGAAAGCUAACCAGGCAGCGUGAGGCCAGGACGGAAAGAGCCACAGGGAGCUCCGCUCAGUUUUGCUACCGGGGAUCUCUCAGGCUCACAACGGGUCAGUCCUCUAGGGAAGUUCUGGCCUCAUCAUGAUCCUUCUUUCAUCUCAUUCCCCAUGUCCUUCCUCUGUCCCUCCUCCCACUGCCAUUUAUUUAUUUAACUGAAAAAGUACCAAUCACCCACAUAUGCAUAAAAUACUCAUCCAUGUACUUAUUUCUUAAAAUUGAUCAUUGUUAACAUUUGGUGUCAUUUGCUUUAUUUUUAAUGAACGAAAUAAAACUUUACAGAAAAUGCUUUUUCUUUCUUCCCUCCCUAUCCUAUCUUUUUCUCCUAAAAAGCCCUAUUAUCAGAAAUAUUAGUGUGUAUUCCCAGUUUUGAUUUUUUAUUUUAUUACACACACACUCCCACACAUAGAUGUGGCAAUGAACUUCACAUAGUAUGAUUCUGUAUUUUCUCUUUGUUUUUCAAACUUACAAAAGUAUUUUACUAUUUCUCAUGGAAAAACUCACUUUUCCCAUCCAACAUUGUGUUCUCUUAAGAUCUAUGUUGAUAUAAAGAAAUCUAGUUCAUUCUUUUUAAUGAAAAUUAAGUAUUAUAUUUUAUGAAUGUAACUCAUGCUAACCAUGGCAAUAAAAGCUCCAUCAAG
This is a non-coding RNA of Macaca mulatta (Rhesus monkey), 1072 nucleotides long. The record is from RefSeq and is a predicted model, not a curated record. NCBI's taxonomy places the organism in Eukaryota, Metazoa, Chordata, Mammalia, Primates, Cercopithecidae.